UGUAGUCAUAUGCUUGUCUCAAAGAUUAAGCCAUGCAGGUCUAAGUAUGAGCCGAAAUAAAGUGAAACCGCGAAUGGCUCAUUACAUCAGUUAUGGUUCCUUAGAUCUUCGGUAUCCUACUUGGAUAACCCUGGAAAUUCUAGAGCUAAUACAUGCGUAUGUAGCUCCGACCCUCGGGAAGGGGCGUUUUUGUUAGACCAAAGCCAAUCGGGGAGCAAUCCUCGAACACUUGGUGAGUCUGAACAACUUUGAGCGGAUCGCACGGUCUCGUACCGGCGACAACUCUUUCAAAUGUCUGCCUUAUCAACUUGAUGGUAGGCUAUGUGCCUACCAUGGUGACAACGGGUAACGGGGAAUGGGGC
RNAcentral lists this ribosomal RNA (362 nucleotides) under Dolerocypris environmental sample. RNAcentral's name for it is "SSU rRNA". It matches the Rfam family "Eukaryotic small subunit ribosomal RNA", at positions 21 to 375 of the family's 1831-position model. The record is from RNAcentral. Lineage: Eukaryota; Metazoa; Arthropoda; Ostracoda; Podocopida; Cyprididae.